Molecule: RNase P RNA, 361 nt
Filed under: Cryomorphaceae bacterium
Lineage: Bacteria; Pseudomonadati; Bacteroidota; Flavobacteriia; Flavobacteriales; Cryomorphaceae
Description: RNase P RNA component class A
Rfam family: Bacterial RNase P class A
About the family: Ribonuclease P (RNase P) is a ubiquitous endoribonuclease, found in archaea, bacteria and eukarya as well as chloroplasts and mitochondria. Its best characterised activity is the generation of mature 5'-ends of tRNAs by cleaving the 5'-leader elements of precursor-tRNAs.
Source: RNAcentral
AGUGCAAACCGCUUCAUCGCUCUCCUCCCAACAUUGUUGGCGGGGAGGGAGGAAAGUCCGGGCAGCACAGAGCGCCUCACCCCGUGAAAACGGGGGUGCCGGUGAGGCAACGAUCCGGUAACAGAAAGUGCCACAGAAACGAUACCGUCCCGAAAUGCUUCGGGAUAAGGGUGAAAACGCGAGGUAAGAGCUCACGUCGCGGUGGGGUAACCUGCCGGGAGGGUAAACCUUGAGGGCUGUAAGACCAUGUAAACCCGGGAUUGAGGGCUGCUCGUCCGAUCCGGGAGGGUAGGUCGCUUAGAUAAAUGAUGAAGGUCUUCUUCGGGAGAUACAGAACCCGGCUUACAGGUUUGCUAUCUGA